CGGCGUCGGUGGCCAAUCGGAGUUUGCGUCCUUCGUUUAUGGCGCUUACCUGGGAGAAGUGGAGGGACAGGGCGUGUUUAUCUGCGCUGGCUGAGUUGUCCCGGCGAAGUUCGAAGUUCGACCUUGGCACGCUGGGAGUGGUCAGGCCACACUUAAAAAGGAUCAAGCUAAAGAGCCAAGGAACAGCUGACCUGACCUUGGGAAGAUACUGCAUUAGCAACAAUAAAAAGUUGUGUCGAAGUAAAUAAGUACCUUCAAGUAAAGACUUCAAAAUUUAUGGCCUUGCUGAAACUCUCAGUUUCCAGACUAUAAGGCUCUGAAGGAAUAAAGGUGUAGUCCCCAUAGAAUUUCCACUGCCAAUUCACCAGUGCAAGGGAUAAGAUUAAAAUUGAGUUAAUCAUGGGAAAAUAUUUAGACUGUGUUCAGGAUGUGCUGUGUUCUUACUAGUAAGUUUUUCUAUAUUUUUAACUUAACUGUCCCUAAAUAUUUUUCAUCUGGUCACAUAGAUGUCUUUAAGAGUACUUUUCAAAUCUAUCCCAAUAAUGGUUUUACCACACUAUUUGAAAAUGUCACUGGGAAAUGAUCAAAUAGGUCAUAAAACUGAGAGGUUGAAAAAUGUUAGUUUGUGCAAUCACUGAAACGACUGUAGUUACUUUGUAAUUGUUAGAAAUCAAUACAUAUGAAUAGAAAAUAUUAGGGUGUCUGGCCUUCAUCAUUCUAACUCUUAUGCUACUCAUGGUCUUAUUAAUUGAUACAAAUUUUUAAAAUUAGAAUUUCCAGACUUUGAAUGACAACAGAUUGUCAUCAUUCACUUACACAGCCUUUUCCCAAUAAUCCAGAAACUGGAGAGCAGUUAAACAGUAACUUCUGUAACAGUGACAUAAUUUCCUGCAAAACUGUUAUUUUUGUAAUGGUUAACUUCUCUCAUUUGUUCACAGCAGGGGGUCAGUUUCUUUCAUCAGUGUCUUCUAUUUAUUAUAAAUCACAGUGGCUAAGGUAUUUUACCCUUGAUCUUGCCUGUUUCUUCCAGACUUGCCUGGCCCCUUCUGCCCUUUUCUUAUGGUUCCCACCAGAAGCUGCCUUAGACUUGUGGCAGGCUUUUGGGCCAACCCUGUAACUGGACACUUACCCACAAGGGGAUGGGUAGCAGGUGUUUCAUUGGAAACUGUUAUCUUCUCUUCUUUCUAUUGCACACAAAUUCUAUUAAAGUUCUUUCCUAUGGAUGAUCUUAUGCACUAAGAAUAAGUUUGUCUUUAUGCACUGGAUGGCAGAACCCAUAGAGAGUGUGCAGGUUUGGGAGUCCUGGGGUACCCCUCUGUCUGGCUGCUAAUAUAACCAGGCUCAUAGGAAUCCCAGAGGAUCUGGGCUGACCACCAACAGUCAUGUUUCACACUCAUCUGCACAGGAGAAGAAAGACCUUAAAAAAAAGAGAGAAUAGUUAAUUUGGCAUCUACUAUAUAGGGCACUUCUUUAAUCACUAUGCGGUCAUUAUCUUUAUUAAAAAAUUUUUCUCCAUCAUCUUUUUAUUCAGUUUUCACAGGAAUUUUGUUUUGCCCAUAAUUAUCACUUGAACUAAGUUAGACUGAUGUUUGUCUUAAUGGAGCCAUAGGAAACUCUGAACAUUAUGAAAGGGACAUGCUAAAUCCUGUGCCUUUUCAAUUCUUUUCCCAUUCUUUUUUUUUAUUAAUUAAUUAAUAGGGGUAAAGGUGUUGCAGUCAUUAUCUUUUUAAAUCUUGCGUGGGUAGUGUUUUGUUCUUCAUUUUACAGAAGAGGAAACUAAGACUUAUUAAGUAUCAGACCUGUGGUGACACAGCUGUUAAGUGGCAGGAUCAAGAUUCAAAACCAGAAUACAAAUAAAUAAAAACAACACAGGGUCUCCCUAGUGACACAAGGGGUUAAGCACAGCACUAUGAAGCUAUACUCAGCCUCUGCAGCACGAGUUCGAGUUUGAUCCCUGGCCGGCCAGGGAGCAACCUACAUGGCGCAGCAGACCUCUCCUGCCUCACCUGUUGCUCCCCUCAGCAGUGUAUUUCGGUGAAUCUGCCUGUUCUGCUCCCCACUCUGUCUCUGGUAAAUCCUCUCACCCCCCACACCUCUGGCCUGGACCCCAGUUCUUGUAUGCAUAA
Long non-coding RNA from Talpa occidentalis (Iberian mole), 2126 nucleotides. RefSeq lists it as uncharacterized. Lineage: Eukaryota; Metazoa; Chordata; Mammalia; Eulipotyphla; Talpidae. The record is from RefSeq and is a predicted model, not a curated record. The transcript is spliced from 5 exons.